UUCAUCCAGAGCAGCCGAGGGAAUGGCCCUAUGACACUGCGGCAACCCCCCAUAGCGGGAAGGUGCCAAGUCCAACGGAUUUCGAUCCGGCAGAUGAA
RNAcentral lists this non-coding RNA (98 nucleotides) under uncultured Caecibacter sp. Its description in RNAcentral is "SAM riboswitch (S box leader)". It matches the Rfam family "SAM riboswitch aptamer (S box leader)". Rfam says of the family: The SAM riboswitch is found upstream of a number of genes which code for proteins involved in methionine or cysteine biosynthesis in Gram-positive bacteria. The SAM riboswitch acts at the level of transcription termination control. The predicted structure consists of a complex stem-loop region followed by a single stem loop terminator region. The record is from RNAcentral. Lineage: Bacteria; Bacillati; Bacillota; Negativicutes; Veillonellales; Veillonellaceae.